UACGUAGGUCCCGAGCGUUGUCCGGAUUUAUUGGGCGUAAAGCGAGCGCAGGCGGUUAGAUAAGUCUGAAGUUAAAGGCAGUGGCUCAACCAUUGUAGGCUUUGGAAACUGUUUAACUUGAGUGCAGAAGGGGAGAGUGGAAUUCCAUGUGUAGCGGUGAAAUGCGUAGAUAUAUGGAGGAACACCGGUGGCGAAAGCGGCUCUCUGGUCUGUAACUGACGCUGAGGCUCGAAAGCGUGGGGAGGGAACAGG
Molecule: ribosomal RNA, 252 nt
Filed under: uncultured bacterium
Lineage: Bacteria
Description: partial 16S ribosomal RNA
Rfam family: Bacterial small subunit ribosomal RNA
Source: RNAcentral